AUAUCACGUUGAAAUACUGGUUCUCGACCGAUCACCGAAUUUACGCAACGGUGAGCCUGGUCAAUAUCUAGAUGGGUGACCGCUUGGGAAUAGCAUGUGCUGCAAG
Molecule: non-coding RNA, 106 nt
Organism: Acanthosepion pharaonis
Lineage: Eukaryota; Metazoa; Mollusca; Cephalopoda; Sepiida; Sepiidae
Source: the annotation of a GenBank genome assembly